RNAcentral lists this ribosomal RNA (1287 nucleotides) under metagenome. Its description in RNAcentral is "bacterial SSU rRNA". It matches the Rfam family "Bacterial small subunit ribosomal RNA", at positions 242 to 1520 of the family's 1533-position model. The record is from RNAcentral.
UAGCUAGUUGGUGAGGUAACGGCUUACCAAGGCGACGAUCUGUAGCGGGUCUGAGAGGAUGAUCCGCCACACUGGAACUGAGACACGGUCCAGACUCCUACGGGAGGCAGCAGUGGGGAAUUUUGGACAAUGGGGGCAACCCUGAUCCAGCCAUGCCGCGUGAGUGAAGAAGGCCUUCGGGUUGUAAAGCUCUUUCGGCCGGGAAGAAAUCGCAUGGGCCAAUACCCUGUGUGGAUGACGGUACCGGAAUAAGAAGCACCGGCUAACUACGUGCCAGCAGCCGCGGUAAUACGUAGGGUGCGAGCGUUAAUCGGAAUUACUUGGCGUAAAGCGUGCGCAGGCGGUUUAGUAAGACAGGCGUGAAAUCCCCGGGCUCAACCUGGGAACUGCGUUUGUGACUGCAAGGCUAGAGUACGGCAGAGGGGGGUGGAAUUCCACGUGUAGCAGUGAAAUGCGUAGAGAUGUGGAGGAACACCAAUGGCGAAGGCAGCCCCCUGGGUCGAUACUGACGCUCAUGCACGAAAGCGUGGGUAGCAAACAGGAUUAGAUACCCUGGUAGUCCACGCCCUAAACUAUGUCAACUAGGUGUUGGGUGGGUAAAACCAUUUAGUACCGUAGCUAACGCGUGAAGUUGACCGCCUGGGGAGUACGGCCGCAAGGUUAAAACUCAAAGGAAUUGACGGGGACCCGCACAAGCGGUGGAUGAUGUGGAUUAAUUCGAUGCAACGCGAAAAACCUUACCUACCCUUGACAUGCCAGGAACUUGCCAGAGAUGGCUUGGUGCCCGAAAGGGAGCCUGGACACAGGUGCUGCAUGGCUGUCGUCAGCUCGUGUCGUGAGAUGUUGGGUUAAGUCCCGCAACGAGCGCAACCCUUGUCGUUAAUUGCCAUCAUUUAGUUGGGCACUUUAGCGAGACUGCCGGUGACAAACCGGAGGAAGGUGGGGAUGACGUCAAGUCCUCAUGGCCCUUAUGGGUAGGGCUUCACACGUCAUACAAUGGUCGGUACAGAGGGUCGCCAAGCCGCGAGGUGGAGCCAAUCCCAGAAAGCCGAUCGUAGUCCGGAUUGCAGGCUGCAACUCGCCUGCAUGAAGUCGGAAUCGCUAGUAAUCGUGGAUCAGCAUGUCACGGUGAAUACGUUCCCGGGUCUUGUACACACCGCCCGUCGCACCAUGGGAGCGGGUUCCGCCAGAAGUAGGUAGCCUAACCGCAAGGAGGGCGCUUACCACGGCGGGGUUCGUGACUGGGGUGAAGUCGGAACAAGGUAGCCGUAGGGGAACCUGCGGCUG